AUUGAACGCUAGCGGGAUGCUUUACACAUGCAAGUCGAACGGCAGCGCGGACUUCGGUCUAGCGGCGAGUGGCGAACGGGUGAGUAAUGUAUCGGAACGUGCCCAGUAGCGGGGGAUAACUACGCGAAAGCGUAGCUAAUACCGCAUACGCCCUACGGGGGAAAGCAGGGGAUCGUAAGACCUUGCACUAUUGGAGCGGCCGAUAUCGGAUUAGCUAGUUGGUGAGGUAACGGCUCACCAAGGCGACGAUCCGUAGCUGGUUUGAGAGGACGACCAGCCACACUGGGACUGAGACACGGCCCAGACUCCUACGGGAGGCAGCAGUGGGGAAUUUUGGACAAUGGGGGCAACCCUGAUCCAGCCAUCCCGCGUGUGCGAUGAAGGCCUUCGGGUUGUAAAGCACUUUUGGCAGGAAAGAAACGUCGCGGGCUAAUACCCCGUGGAACUGACGGUACCUGCAGAAUAAGCACCGGCUAACUACGUG
RNAcentral lists this ribosomal RNA (484 nucleotides) under uncultured bacterium. RNAcentral describes it as "partial 16S ribosomal RNA". It matches the Rfam family "Bacterial small subunit ribosomal RNA", at positions 30 to 507 of the family's 1533-position model. The record is from RNAcentral.